Molecule: ribosomal RNA, 257 nt
Filed under: uncultured Arcobacter sp.
Lineage: Bacteria; Pseudomonadati; Campylobacterota; Epsilonproteobacteria; Campylobacterales; Arcobacteraceae
Description: partial 16S ribosomal RNA
Rfam family: Bacterial small subunit ribosomal RNA
Source: RNAcentral
GUGCCAGCAGCUGCGGUAAUACGGAGGGUGCAAGCGUUACUCGGAAUCACUGGGCGUAAAGAGCGUGUAGGCGGAUAAAUAAGUUUGAAGUGAAAAUCCUAUAGCUUAACUAUAGAACUGCUUUAGAAAACUGUUAAUCUAGAAUGUGGGAGAGGUAGAUGGAAUUUCUGGUGUAGGGGUAAAAUCCGUAGAGAUCAGAAGGAAUACCGAUUGCGAAGGCGAUCUACUGGAACAAUAUUGACGCUGAGACGCGAAAG